This 888-nucleotide ribosomal RNA is filed under the name uncultured Facklamia sp. RNAcentral describes it as "bacterial SSU rRNA". It matches the Rfam family "Bacterial small subunit ribosomal RNA", at positions 8 to 877 of the family's 1533-position model. Lineage: Bacteria; Bacillati; Bacillota; Bacilli; Lactobacillales; Aerococcaceae. The record is from RNAcentral.
AGAGUUUGAUCCUGGCUCAGGACGAACGCUGGCGGCGUGCCUAAUACAUGCAAGUCGAACGCACUGACGGAGAACUUGUUCUCUUGACGUGAGUGGCGCACGGGUGAGUAACACGUGGGAAACCUACCCUUCAGCGGGGGAUAACCAUCGGAAACGAUGACUAAUACCGCAUAGACGACAGAACCGCCUGGUUCAAUCGGGAAAGACGGCUUCGGCUGUCACUGAAGGAUGGUCCCGCGCUGCAUUAGCUAGUUGGUAAGGUAACGGCUUACCAAGGCGAUGAUGCAUAGCCGACCUGAGAGGGUGAUCGGCCACAUUGGGACUGAGACACGGCCCAAACUCCUACGGGAGGCAGCAGUAGGGAAUCUUCCGCAAUGGACGCAAGUCUGACGGAGCAACGCCGCGUGUGUGAAGAAGGUUUUCGGAUCGUAAAGCACUGUUAUUAGAGAAGAACAGCCGAUAGAGUAACUGUUAUCGGUUUGACGGUAUCUAACCAGAAAGUGACGGCUAACUACGUGCCAGCAGCCGCGGUAAUACGUAGGUCACAAGCGUUGUCCGGAUUUAUUGGGCGUAAAGGGAGCGCAGGCGGUUUGUUAAGUCUGAUGUGAAAGCCCACGGCUCAACCGUGGAACGGCAUUGGAAACUGGCAAACUUGAGUAUAGAAGAGGAAAGUGGAAUUCCAUGUGUAGCGGUGAAAUGCGUAGAUAUAUGGAGGAACACCAGUGGCGAAGGCGACUUUCUGGUCUAUAACUGACGCUGAGGCUCGAAAGCGUGGGGAGCGAACAGGAUUAGAUACCCUGGUAGUCCACGCCGUAACGAUGAGUGUUAAGUGUUGGGGGGCUUCCACCCCUCAGUGCUGGCGUUAACGCAAUAAACACUCCGCCUGGG